Molecule: long non-coding RNA, 800 nt
Organism: Raphanus sativus (radish)
Lineage: Eukaryota; Viridiplantae; Streptophyta; Magnoliopsida; Brassicales; Brassicaceae
Exons: 4
Source: RefSeq, a predicted model, not a curated record
UAAUUAAGAAGUUUCUUUCUCCGUUUCUAAGAGCCACGUGUCAUUGUUUCUCUCUCUCCUUCUCGUCGCCUCCCUCCUCUCCUUCUCUUCGUCUUCUCCUUCUCUACUUCUCUCUCGACGGCCACUACACCAGAGGACACGACCGUGUCAGAAGCUUCACCACAAGAACGAAGAAUCUAUUUAAAACGCAUCCACUGCCCAAACUUUCUCUCAUCUACGAACCAACCAGCCAAGCCAGCCUCUUGAGAUUUCCGAAGAGACAUGUAAUAUAGUGUGGAGAUGUCGUUCAUUGAUUAGGCUUUGAUUGUUUGUGGCUAGCAGCAGCUUAUGGCUUCGAGAAGAAUUAACAAAGAGCUUAGGGACCUGCAAAAGAACCCUCCUGUGUCUUGCAUUGCCGAUAUGCUUUCAAGUGUCACCGGAAAUCCGAGGAUGGAAGGGACAUUGUCUACCCCGUAAAUGUGAUCGCCUUCCAUCCGAUUUAUGGAACUUUUGCUACGGGAGGUUGUGACGGUUUCGUCAACGUUUGGGAUGGUAACAACAAGAAGAGUAUAUCAGGUUUAGCAGUGACAACAACUUGCGUCUUUUCUUCUGAUUAUAGCUCAAGCUAAUGUGUCUAGUUAGUGAAAACUGAAUCUUUUUGAUGCAUAUCCACACUUAAGUAUUUAUCAACAUUAUACUAAAAAACAACAUAAAAGUUUCUACCAAUAAUCUGUAUAUUUGCUUGUGUUUCUUAGCAUUGUCUCUUAAUCAAAAUAUAAUAAUAAAAAAUGCUAAGAUACAUUAAUAUUGUCCCUGCAAUA